RNAcentral lists this small RNA (709 nucleotides) under Histoplasma ohiense. RNAcentral's name for it is "hypothetical lncRNA". The record is from RNAcentral. Lineage: Eukaryota; Fungi; Ascomycota; Eurotiomycetes; Onygenales; Ajellomycetaceae.
AACAGCCAUAUCCCGAAACGAUCAACUUUCCAAUUCAGCAAUGCUAGAGCUUAACUAAAACCUCUCAGACCUCGCUUGUCGUCUAUGGACCCGCCAACCUUCCCCCUUGUGGAUUUUGGGAAUGAUGUUGCUACAACUAACCAUCCGCUUUGAUUGUCGUCAGCAAUGAAAUUAAUACAGCAGUUUACUGUCCUGGAAGCUUCCCCCGGUUGAGUGGGUGUUCAACUUGAUCCUCUUUGUGUUGGGAAUUGGCAUUUUGGUGGUGGUGCUCGCUCGUCCCUGCACAAUUGGAAAUAUCCCUGCUGCUUGCUUCAGAACUACCAAGAGUAAGAGACAGUCAGUUGGUUCUGGAGACUCAGGGACUCAGGGUCAGCACAGCCAUGUGCUCAUAUGCCAGAUUCACCACGAAUACUAAAUGCCUUCAGGCGAAUGGACCUCAUGCGUGGAGGUUUCGAGACGCGAAUCCAACAAGAAAGGAUAAGAAUAGUUAGACAUAUUGAGUUUCUUCCUGUUGGAAUAUAGUAGGCGAUUCGUAUUGUUCACUUUGUGCCGCAACUUUCCUUCUGUUUGGCAUGUGCCAUGUACUUAGGUUGUGAAGAAGGAAGACAUUGCUGGGAGAGAAUAUAAGGCUUCACUGAAGAGUUGAACUUGACAUGCUGAGAAUAACUCAAUCGGGUCAUGGCAUUUUAUAGCAGUCAACAAGAACAGC